This 65-nucleotide transfer RNA is filed under the name Felderimyia fuscipennis. RNAcentral's name for it is "tRNA-Asn". The record is from RNAcentral. Lineage: Eukaryota; Metazoa; Arthropoda; Insecta; Diptera; Tephritidae.
UUAAUUGAAGCCAAAAAGAGGCUUAUCACUGUUAAUGAUAGAACUGAGGAACCCCUCCAAUUAAG